RNAcentral lists this ribosomal RNA (69 nucleotides) under Macromeles tschonoskii. RNAcentral describes it as "5.8S ribosomal RNA". Lineage: Eukaryota; Viridiplantae; Streptophyta; Magnoliopsida; Rosales; Rosaceae. The record is from RNAcentral.
AUCGAGUCUUUGAACGCAAGUUGCGCCCGAAGCCAUCAGGUCGAGGGCACGCCUGCCUGGGCGUCACAC